AUAAGAGGUCCUGCCUGCCCUGUGACUAUACGUUUAACGGCCGCGGUAUUUUGACCGUGCGAAGGUAGCGCAAUCACUUGUCUUUUAAAUGGAGACCUGUAUGAAUGGCAAGACGAGGGCUUGACUGUCUCCUCUUUCAAGUCAAUGAAAUUGAUCUCCCCGUGCAGAAGCGGGGAUAUAAUCAUAAGACGAGAAGACCCUAUGGAGCUUUAGACACCAAAGUAGCCCCUGUUAAACACCCCUGCUUAAAGGACUAAACCGAAGGGGUCCUACCCUAAUGUCUUUGGUUGGGGCGACCGCGGGGAAACACAAAACCCCCAUGUGGAACGGGACCACCCAUUCCUAAAACAGAGAGCUCCUGCUCUAAGAAACAAAAUUUUUGACCUCCAGAUCCGGCAAAGCCGAUCAACGGACCGAGUUACCCUAGGGAUAACAGCGCAAUCCUCUUUUAGAGCCCAUAUCGACAAGGGGGUUUACGACCUCGAUGUUGGAUCAGGACAUCCUAAUGGUGCAGCCGCUAUUAAGGGUUCGUUUGUUCAACGAUUAAAGUCC
RNAcentral lists this ribosomal RNA (552 nucleotides) under Ctenolabrus rupestris (goldsinny wrasse). Its description in RNAcentral is "partial 16S ribosomal RNA". It matches the Rfam family "Bacterial large subunit ribosomal RNA", at positions 1845 to 2596 of the family's 2925-position model. The record is from RNAcentral. Lineage: Eukaryota; Metazoa; Chordata; Actinopteri; Labriformes; Labridae.